This 460-nucleotide ribosomal RNA is filed under the name uncultured bacterium. RNAcentral's name for it is "partial 16S ribosomal RNA". It matches the Rfam family "Bacterial small subunit ribosomal RNA", at positions 29 to 507 of the family's 1533-position model. The record is from RNAcentral.
AGCGAACGCUGGCGGCAGGCUUAACACAUGCCAGUCGAGCGGGCACUUUCGGGUGUCAGCGGCGGACGGGUGAGUAACGCGUGGGAACGUGCCCUCUGGUUCGGAAUAACUCAGGGAAACUUGAGCUAAUACCGGAUACGCCCUUUUGGGGAAAGGCUUGCUGCCGGAGGAUCGGCCCGCGUCUGAUUAGCUAGUUGGUGAGGUAACGGCUCACCAAGGCGACGAUCAGUAGCUGGUCUGAGAGGAUGAUCAGCCACACUGGGACUGAGACACGGUCCAGACUCCUACGGGAGGCAGCAGUGGGGAAUAUUGGACAAUGGGCGCAAGCCUGAUCCAGCCAUACCGCGUGGGUGAAGAAGGCCUUCGGGUUGUAAAGCCCUUUUGUUGGGAAAGAAAAGCAGCAGGUUAAUACCCCGCUGUUCUGACGGUACCCAAAGAAUAAGCACCGGCUAACUUCGUG